AGCAUGACUGUGAGAUCUCAGAUAUCCGGCUGUCACAGAGGAAGUGGAAAUUUUCAACCAUGAAUGUCGUCAUCUUUUCAAUGUGAAGGUUUGCUACUGCCAAAUAAGAAACACCAUUUUGUUUUCAGAUGAAAACUAAUGUGAGGUCAAGGAACCAGCCUGCUGUCGGCUGGCACAACCACUCCUGCAGCCUGGGCUUCAGAUUCUCCCUGUAGCUGCAGGCAUUAAAUUAUGAUGAAGGCCACAGAAAAAUAAUUAAGGUCAAAGUCUAGAAUCAAGUGUCAGCCUAUGUUAUGGACAUCACAUUUAUGUACCAUUGGGUCAUGAGGGUGGAGUGCUCAUGAAUGGAAUUAGUGACCUUAUGAAAGAGAGACUAGAGAGCUGUCUCAUCCCUUCUGCUGUGUGAGGACCUGGUGAAAAGAUGUCAGGUAUGAAACAGAAAGCGAGGCCUCAGCAGACACUGCAUCUUAUAGUGCCUUGAUCUUGGACUUUCCAGCCUCCAGAACUG
Long non-coding RNA from Nomascus leucogenys (northern white-cheeked gibbon), 508 nucleotides. RefSeq lists it as uncharacterized. The transcript is spliced from 3 exons. The record is from RefSeq and is a predicted model, not a curated record. Lineage: Eukaryota; Metazoa; Chordata; Mammalia; Primates; Hylobatidae.